UUGCAUGCCCUGCCACUUGUGGCAUUGUCAGAAGAUCUACUUGUAAAUAAAUGUAACUACUGACAGUAAAUGAACAGAAAUAUACUAACAAAACAUGAUAAGAUUCUUAAUCAUAUAGUUUGUAAAGAUGAAGAUAGGAUCAGGAAGCAAUCAUCAUGAUAUAUGUAUCUUAACUUUACAGAAGUUCUACAGAAGGUAAUAAAUACAAGUUGACAAUAUAAAUGUGGUCAAGACAGAGUAUAUCAAUCUAAUGUGACGUAUCUGUAACGAAAAAAGAGAAUGAGUUGAACAAAAGAUGAAAUAGAAGCAUUUAUGCCUCCAUGAUGAAGCUGCAUCAAUGAAUAAAGUAAAAGCAUCUAUUAGUCUUGCUUAAAUCCAAUUUCACAAAUGUAGCCUUCCACCAAGAACAGGAUAUUCUCCUACUACCAUUAGGAUUACAUAAUACCUCUCCUCGACUGUCUUCCUACUUUUAUCAUUCAUUGACUAAUUUCAUAUUUUAUAAAAUAAUGGCCAUUGGUUAGAAAUCCCACAAUAGAAG
Molecule: long non-coding RNA, 538 nt
Filed under: Ricinus communis (castor bean)
Lineage: Eukaryota; Viridiplantae; Streptophyta; Magnoliopsida; Malpighiales; Euphorbiaceae
Description: long non-coding RNA (RCOM_LNC002682)
Source: RNAcentral